GGGCGCUUGGUCUAGGGGUAUGAUUUUCGCUUCGCAUUAAUGUGUGUGUUUGUGAAAGGUCGUGGGUUCAAUUCCCACAGCGUCCA
Molecule: transfer RNA, 86 nt
Filed under: Plenodomus lingam JN3
Lineage: Eukaryota; Fungi; Ascomycota; Dothideomycetes; Pleosporales; Leptosphaeriaceae
Description: tRNA-Ala for anticodon CGC
Rfam family: tRNA
About the family: Transfer RNA (tRNA) molecules are approximately 80 nucleotides in length. Their secondary structure includes four short double-helical elements and three loops (D, anti-codon, and T loops). Further hydrogen bonds mediate the characteristic L-shaped molecular structure. tRNAs have two regions of fundamental functional importance: the anti-codon, which is responsible for specific mRNA codon recognition, and the 3' end, to which the tRNAs corresponding amino acid is attached (by aminoacyl-tRNA synthetases). tRNAs cope with the degeneracy of the genetic code in two manners: having more than one tRNA (with a specific anti-codon) for a particular amino acid; and 'wobble' base-pairing, i.e. permitting non-standard base-pairing at the 3rd anti-codon position.
Source: Rfam by way of RNAcentral